This 404-nucleotide ribosomal RNA is filed under the name uncultured bacterium. RNAcentral's name for it is "bacterial SSU rRNA". It matches the Rfam family "Bacterial small subunit ribosomal RNA", at positions 355 to 776 of the family's 1533-position model. The record is from RNAcentral.
UGGGGAAUAUUGCACAAUGGGGGAAACCCUGAUGCAGCGACGCCGCGUGAAGGAUGAAGUAUUUCGGUAUGUAAACUUCUAUCAGCAGGGAAGAAAAUGACGGUACCUGACUAAGAAGCCCCGGCUAACUACGUGCCAGCAGCCGCGGUAAUACGUAGGGGGCAAGCGUUAUCCGGAUUUACUGGGUGUAAAGGGAGCGUAGACGGCAUGGCAAGUCUGAUGUGAAAACCCGGGGCUCAACCCCGGGACUGCAUUGGAAACUGUCAGGCUAGAGUGUCGGAGAGGCAAGUGGAAUUCCUAGUGUAGCGGUGAAAUGCGUAGAUAUUAGGAGGAACACCAGUGGCGAAGGCGGCUUGCUGGACGAUGACUGACGUUGAGGCUCGAAAGCGUGGGGAGCAAACAGG